UACGAAGGGGGCUAGCGUUGUUCGGAAUUACUGGGCGUAAAGGGCGCGUAGGCGGUCCCGUCAGUCCCUUGUGAAAUCCCCGGGCUCAACCCGGGAACUGCGUCCGAUACUGGCAGGCUUGAAUCCGGGAGAGGGAUGUGGAAUUCCAGGUGUAGCGGUGAAAUGCGUAGAUAUCUGGAGGAACACCGGUGGCGAAGGCGGCAUCCUGGACCGGUAUUGACGCUGAUGCGCGAAAGCCAGGGGAGCAAACGGG
This 253-nucleotide ribosomal RNA is filed under the name uncultured bacterium. RNAcentral's name for it is "partial 16S ribosomal RNA". It matches the Rfam family "Bacterial small subunit ribosomal RNA", at positions 524 to 776 of the family's 1533-position model. The record is from RNAcentral.